AUGGUUGCCUACGCCCGCCGCUCCAGGGCGCCGGGGCGCCCGCACUUCGCCCUCGACGCCCACCCUUGCGAGCAAGAGCUCAUCGCGGCGUACCUUGGCCCGCGAGUCACCGAGGGCGACAUGUCGUGCAAGUUCAUCCACGAAGGCGACGUCUACGCCGCCCACCCUGAGGACCUCACGCAGCAGUACGCCGCGGCCGUCGCCAGCAACGGCGACGAGGCGUGGUACUUCUUCACCGCCGUGCGGGCCAAAGGCGGCGGCCGCAGGGGGCGCACGGUGGACUCCCAGGAGGGGUGCUGGCACUCCGAGGCCGGCUCCAAGCCCGAGGUCUCGGCGCACCACCACGGCGGAGGCCUCCUGGGGCAUCGCCAGAACUUCUCGUUCGUCACCAAGGAGGACGGCGUGCGGGUCCGCUCAGGGUGGCUCAUGGUGGAGCUCGGCCUGCACGGCGACGGCCAGGACGAGGUCACCCUCUGCAAGGUCUACUUCAGCCCGCGCGCCGCCAAGAACAACAAGAAACCCGCCGCGUCGUCGUCCGCGCGCAAGAGGAAGGCCGACGCCGGCAGCCCUGCCCCGGCGCGCCAAUGCCGCCGCCGCCGUGAAAUGAACCAGGAUGAUCAUCCGGUGGAGAAACAAGCCGUGAAGGCCGGCAAACAAGAGGGGUUUGUCGAGGAGAGCUCGGCGGACGAGCCCGAGGUUGUGGAUCCGAAUGACUUCUUUUGGUGGGUGCGGAACAAGGAGAAGCUGAGGCUGGCAUUGGGCAUCAGCGAGGAAGACUUCUACCGGCCCCCAUCUGCGGCUGCCUUGGAAAGAAGUUUCGGGCCGGACUGGCCGCCGGCUGCACCACCUUCCAGCCCCGUCGUUCCCAACGAGGACAAGCCCGUGGUCAUGUGGUUGACGUACGAGGAACUGCACGGUCUGCCGGAGGUCAGAGAGUUCUUGUCGCCCACCAAGUUGCUGGAGGAGAUGAGAUCGUCUGUCAAGCAACACGAGUAG
This 996-nucleotide ribosomal RNA is filed under the name Triticum aestivum (bread wheat). RNAcentral's name for it is "partial small subunit ribosomal RNA". Lineage: Eukaryota; Viridiplantae; Streptophyta; Magnoliopsida; Poales; Poaceae. The record is from RNAcentral.